UCAUUCUAGAUACACUUUCCAGUACAUCUACUAUGUUACGACUUAUCUUACCUUAAUAAUAAGAGCGACGGGCGAUGUGUACAUAUUUUAGAGCUAAAAUCAAAUUAUUAAUCUUUAUAAUUUUACAACCAAAUCCACCUUCAAAAAUUUUUUCAUAAUUUUAUCCGUUUAAAUAAAUUUAUUGUAACCCAUUAUUACUUAAAUAUAAGCUACACCUUGAUCUGAUAUAAAUUCUCUUUAAAAUUAUUGAAUAUUAUUAUUCUUAUAAAAUAUUCUGAUAACGACGGUAUAUAAACUGAUUACAAAUUUAAGUAAGGUCCAUCGUGGAUUAUCGAUUACAAAACAGGUUCCUCUGGAUAGACUAAAAUACCGCCAAAUUUUUUAAGUUUCAAGAACAUAAC
Molecule: ribosomal RNA, 401 nt
Filed under: Drosophila stalkeri
Lineage: Eukaryota; Metazoa; Arthropoda; Insecta; Diptera; Drosophilidae
Description: partial 12S ribosomal RNA
Source: RNAcentral